AAGAGGUUAGUUUACUAAAAACAUAAGCUUGUCGGGCUUAAAAAGAUUUAAAUAAUCACCUCUU
RNAcentral lists this transfer RNA (64 nucleotides) under Prosthiostomum siphunculus. Its description in RNAcentral is "tRNA-Asp". The record is from RNAcentral. Lineage: Eukaryota; Metazoa; Platyhelminthes; Polycladida; Prosthiostomidae.